UUUAAGCAUGUAGGCUGGUUGUCCAGGCAAAUCCGGAUAAUCAAGGCUGAGGUGUGAUGACGAGGCACUACGGUGCUGAAGUAACAAAUGCCCUGCUUCCAGGAAAAGCCUCUAAGCAUCAGGUAACAUUAAAUCGUACCCCAAACCGACACAGGUGGUCAGGUAGAGAAUACCAAGGCGCUUGAGAGAACUCGGGUGAAGGAACUAGGCAAAAUGGUGCCGUAACUUCGGGAGAAGGCACGCUGGUGUGUAGGUGAAGUCCCUGCGGAUGGAGCUGAGACCAGUCGACGAUACCAGCUGGCUGCAACUGGUUAUUAAAAACACAGCACUGUGCA
Molecule: ribosomal RNA, 335 nt
Filed under: Klebsiella pneumoniae
Lineage: Bacteria; Pseudomonadati; Pseudomonadota; Gammaproteobacteria; Enterobacterales; Enterobacteriaceae
Description: partial 23S ribosomal RNA
Rfam family: Bacterial large subunit ribosomal RNA
Source: RNAcentral